Molecule: ribosomal RNA, 470 nt
Filed under: uncultured bacterium
Lineage: Bacteria
Description: bacterial SSU rRNA
Rfam family: Bacterial small subunit ribosomal RNA
Source: RNAcentral
AGGCCUAACACAUGCAAGUCGAGCGGUAGAGAGGUGCUUGCAUCUCUUGAGAGGCGGCGGACGGGUGAGUAAUGCCUAGGAAUCUGCCUAGUGGUGGGGGAUAACGUUCGGAAACGGACGCUAAUACCGCAUACGUCCUACGGGAGAAAGCGGGGGGAUCUUCGGACCUCGCGCCAUUAGAUGAGCCUAGGUCGGAUUAGCUAGUUGGUGAGGUAAUGGCUCACCAAGGCGACGAUCCGUAACUGGUCUGAGAGGAUGAUCAGUCACACUGGAACUGAGACACGGUCCAGACUCCUACGGGAGGCAGCAGUGGGGAAUAUUGGACAAUGGGCGAAAGCCUGAUCCAGCCAUGCCGCGUGUGUGAAGAAGGUCUUCGGAUUGUAAAGCACUUUAAGUUGGGAGGAAGGGUAGUAACCUAAUACGUUGCUACUUUGACGUUACCGACAGAAUAAGCACCGGCUAACUUCGUG